Molecule: ribosomal RNA, 468 nt
Filed under: uncultured bacterium
Lineage: Bacteria
Description: partial 16S ribosomal RNA
Rfam family: Bacterial small subunit ribosomal RNA
Source: RNAcentral
GACGAACGCUGGCGGCGUGCUUAACACAUGCAAGUCGAACGGAAAGGCCCUGCUUUUGUGGGGUGCUCGAGUGGCGAACGGGUGAGUAACACGUGAGUAACCUGCCCUUGACUUUGGGAUAACUUCAGGAAACUGGGGCUAAUACCGGAUAGGGGCUCCUGCUGCAUGGUGGGGGUUGGAAAGUUUCGGCGGGUGGGGAUGGACGCGCGGCUUAUCAGCUUGUUGGUGGGGUAGUGGCUUACCAAGGCUUUGACGGGUAGCCGGCAUGAGAGGGUGACCGGCCACAUUGGGACUGCGAUACGGCCCAGACUCCUACGGGAGGCAGCAGUGGGGAAUAUUGCACAAUGGGCGGAAGCCUGAUGCAGCAACGCCGCGUGCGGGAUGACGGCCUUCGGGUUGUAAACCGCUUUCGCCUGUGACGAAGCGUGAGUGACGGUAAUGGGUAAAGAAGCACCGGCUAACUACGUG